RNAcentral lists this transfer RNA (67 nucleotides) under Philanthus triangulum (European beewolf). Its description in RNAcentral is "tRNA-Phe". The record is from RNAcentral. Lineage: Eukaryota; Metazoa; Arthropoda; Insecta; Hymenoptera; Crabronidae.
AUUUAAAUAGCUUAAUAUUUAAAAGCAUGAUAUUGAAAAUAUCAAGAUAAUUUUUGAUUUUUAAAUA